RNAcentral lists this ribosomal RNA (406 nucleotides) under uncultured bacterium. Its description in RNAcentral is "partial 16S ribosomal RNA". It matches the Rfam family "Bacterial small subunit ribosomal RNA", at positions 30 to 526 of the family's 1533-position model. The record is from RNAcentral.
AUUGAACGCUGUCGGCAGGCUUCACACAUGCAAGUCGAGCGAGCGGCGGACGGGUGAGUAAUGUCUGGGAAACUGCCUGAUGGCGGGGGAUAACUACUGGAAACGGUAGCUAAUCCCGCAUACCAUCAGAUGUGCCCAGCUGGGAUUAGCUAGUCGGUGGGGUAAUGGCUCACCUAGGCGCCGAUCCCUAGCUGGUCUGAGAGGAUGACCAGCCACACUGGAACUGAGACACGGUCCAGACUCCUACGGGAGGCAGCAGUGGGGAAUAUUGCACAAGGGGCGCAAGCCUGAUGCAGCCAGGCCGCGUGUGUGAAGAAGGCCUUCGGGUUGUAAAGCACUUUCAGCGAGGAGGCGUUACUCGCAGAAGAAGCACCGGCUAACUCCGUGCCAGCAGCCGCGGUAAUUC